Molecule: long non-coding RNA, 124 nt
Organism: Gavialis gangeticus (Gharial)
Lineage: Eukaryota; Metazoa; Chordata; Crocodylia; Gavialidae
Exons: 3
Source: RefSeq, a predicted model, not a curated record
UCUAUGAAAUCUAUGGAUAGGUAUAUCCUGACACCGGUGCUUAGUGUUUAGAGCUAGCUACUGUGAGUGUGUGUGCGUGCGUGAAUGUGUGUGUGUUUGAGGGGAUCAGCACCAAGGUUUAUGG